UACGAGGGGGGCGAGCGUUGUUCGGAAUUAUUGGGCGUAAAGGGCGCGUAGGCGGUCGGGUAAGUCUUGUGUGAAAUCUUCGGGCUCAACUCGAAGUCUGCACAGGAAACUAUCUGGCUUGAGUGUGGGAGAGGUGAGUGGAAUUCCUGGUGUAGCGGUGAAAUGCGUAGAUAUCAGGAGGAACACCUGUGGCGAAAGCGGCUCACUGGACCACAACUGACGCUGAGGCGCGAAAGCUAGGGGAGCAAACAGG
RNAcentral lists this ribosomal RNA (253 nucleotides) under uncultured bacterium. RNAcentral's name for it is "partial 16S ribosomal RNA". It matches the Rfam family "Bacterial small subunit ribosomal RNA", at positions 524 to 776 of the family's 1533-position model. The record is from RNAcentral.